Small nucleolar RNA from Sciurus vulgaris (Eurasian red squirrel), 122 nucleotides. Lineage: Eukaryota; Metazoa; Chordata; Mammalia; Rodentia; Sciuridae. The record is from Ensembl.
GUGCCUUCUUAAGGUUUACAAAGUACUUUAAGAGGCUAACACAGAAGGGUAAAGGAAAGCUCCAUAAAACCCAGAGAAGAGAUUGUAAAACUCCUCUUUGGAUCCUGUCUGGAGUUACAACU